RNAcentral lists this ribosomal RNA (1917 nucleotides) under uncultured eukaryote. Its description in RNAcentral is "partial small subunit ribosomal RNA". It matches the Rfam family "Eukaryotic small subunit ribosomal RNA". The record is from RNAcentral.
AGGAUUGAAAGUGGAUCUGCAGACGGCUCAUUAUAUCAGCUACAAUCUACGUGGGAAAGGUGCCUUACGGCGUCCAUUGGGAUAACAAAGGUAACUCCUUUGCUAAUACCUGUCCGAAAGAUCUCACUCACAUUCCACCCUGGUGGGGAAACCUGCCGGGGGUGAGGGAGAUGCAAUUGACUGAAACUAAAACCAACGCUAGCAAUAGCAGUGGUAGGAGGAUGAAACAGGUCAAUCGAGCGAUAGCACACAGCCUCGUUGUUGGUGCAAGCCCACAAGAGUAUCUGCCCUAUCAGCUUUUGACGGUAGUGUAGUGGACUACCGUGGCAGUAACGGGUAACGGGGAAUUAGGGUUCGAUUCCGGAGAGGGAGCCUGAGAAACGGCUACCACAUCUAAGGAUGGCAGCAGGCGCGCAAAUUGCCCAAUAGUAACAUUACUGAGGCAGCGAAGAGAAAUAGCAGCUUCUGAUCUUUCGAUCAUGGAGCCUGCAAUGGAUGAUAUCUAAACCUGUCAAUGAGUAUCGAUUGGUGGACAAGUCUGGUGCCAGCACCCGCGGUAAUUCCAGCACCAAUAGCGUAUAUUAAUGCUGCUGCUGUUAAAAAGCUCGUAGUUGGAUCCAGGGUUCAGGUUGCGUGUUGCCUUUUGUUCUGUCCCGAGGUUUACCAAAGGCUGAACUUUAGGAGUAACAACUCGCGUUAAACCUGAGCUCUAUCAACGGUGGUAAUGGUACCCUGCGAUUAGGGCUUCGGCCUGAAAGCACUCCGCGUAUACCAUGCGCUUACGGGUCGACCAUCGAUGUUACUGUGAACAAACCAGCGUGCCCAAAGCAGGCGUUCGUCGUGAAUGGUAAAGCAUGGAAUAACAAGGGAUCGAUUCUUUCGGAACAUUUUGUUGGUUUUCUGCCCGAAGAGGAGUAAUAUAGGUCGCAGACUCUUCUGAUGCUUCGGUAUUUGAAAGGCUGCGUCACGGUGGGAUCAAUAGGGACUGUCGGGGUCGUAGGUACUCCCUCGUCAGAGGUGAAAUUCUUAGAUCGUGGGAAGACGAACUUCUGCGAAAGCAUUCGACAAGAAUGUCUUCUUUAAUCAAGAACGAGAGUGUGGGGAUCGAAGAUGAUCAGAUACCGUCGUAGUCCACGACUGUAAACGAUGCCGUCUCAGGAUCGAAGGGCGCUCAUCUAUGGCCCCUACGGCACUAUCCUUCUGAAACGAGAAAUCAAAGAUUAUGGGUUCAGGGGGGAGUACAUUCGCAAGGCUGAAACUUAAAGGAAUUGACGGAAUGACACCACCAGGCGUGGAGUAUGCGGCUUAAUUUGACCCAACACGGGGAAUUUUACUAGGUCAGGACAAUGUAAGGAUUGACAGAUUGAGAGCUCUUUCUUGAUUAAUUGUGUGGUGGUGCAUGGCCGCUCCUGGUUGGUGGAGUGAUUUGUCUGGUUGAUUCCGUUAACGAACGAGAUCUCGACUCUUAAAUAGGUGAGCCCGUUGCCCCUCUUGCAGGCUUUGGACUUGUCCAAGGAAACAGGGAUUCGACUUCUUAAGGGGACUGUGUGCGUCAUAGCACACGGAAGAGCGAGCCAAUAGCAGGUCUGUGAUGCUCCUAAAUGUCCUAGGCUGCACGCGCACUACACUGACGCAUUCAACGAGUCUGAUUGCCUUCGGGCAACCUAUCUUGAAGAGGACGGGAAAUCUUUUGAACUUGCGUCGUGAUGAGGAUAGAUGAUUGCAAUUAUUCUCCUUGAAUGAGGAAUGCCUAGUAGGCGCAAGUCAUCAGCUUGCACUGAUUACGUCCCUGCCAUUUGUACACACCGCCCGUCGUUGCUACCGAUUGGCUGUGGGAUAGAGUUUGGGGGAGGUUGUGGUUUUGGGCUUGCUCAACUCCACGUUCCGAUCCAAGCAAUAUUCUCAGCUAGAGAAGCA